Molecule: long non-coding RNA, 338 nt
Filed under: Bos indicus x Bos taurus (hybrid cattle)
Lineage: Eukaryota; Metazoa; Chordata; Mammalia; Artiodactyla; Bovidae
Description: lncRNA (ENSBIXG00005023589.1)
Source: RNAcentral
GAAUUGCCCUGGAACAAUUUACAGAGCAGCGGUUCCUUUUCCGUGGAUGGAGACUUCUCUCUGCUCCUUGGAGCUCCUUCUUGUUCCAGGAUGAUAUGGAAAGUGAUUCAUCAGGCCCAAGCCCAUGCUGGAUAAACCUCAACAACCGCUUGCUUCUGGGGCUCCUGCCACCCAUAGACCUUGCCCUGAGCUUGUGCUUCAGAGAGCCCCAGUCCAGCCCUCCUCCUGUGUGUGACUUUAAAAAACAAAAUAUGUACAUGCAUGGCUGAUUCAUGUCAAUAUAUAGCAAAAACCACUAUAAUAUUAUAAAGUAACUAGCCUCCAAUUAAAAUAAAUAA